This is a non-coding RNA of Talpa occidentalis (Iberian mole), 366 nucleotides long. The record is from the annotation of a RefSeq genome assembly. Lineage: Eukaryota; Metazoa; Chordata; Mammalia; Eulipotyphla; Talpidae.
AUGGCGCCCUCCAGCCUGCUGUGGGCACUGGUGGCCUUCACCUGCUUUGGAUCCAGUGUGGCCCAGAAAGUUACUCAGGACCAGCCAACUACAGCUAAACAAGAGGGAUCAUCAGUCACCCUCAACUGUCAGUAUGAAACAAGUUCAAGUGACUACUAUCUUUAUUGGUAUAAGCAGCUUCCUGAUGGAAAGAUCACAUUCAUUAUUCAUCGCCAUUCAUCUGCCGGCAACAAAGCAAAAAAUGGUCGCUAUUCUAUAGACUUCCAGAAAGCAAAGAAAGCCAUCUCCCUCACCAUUUCACCCUUGCAAUGGGAAGAUUCAGCCAAGUAUUUCUGUGCUCUCAGUGAUACACUGUGUUUGAAGUGA